RNAcentral lists this long non-coding RNA (1388 nucleotides) under Monodelphis domestica (gray short-tailed opossum). RNAcentral describes it as "lncRNA (ENSMODG00000046382.1)". Lineage: Eukaryota; Metazoa; Chordata; Mammalia; Didelphimorphia; Didelphidae. The record is from RNAcentral.
UUUCAAAGAGUCUAGUGGUUUUACAUCACAAUGGCAGUGACCCUUUAAUAACUUGCCUUAGUGAUAUUCUUUCAGGGGACAAAAGCACCAUGGAGAAGAUCUGCUACUCCAGACUUAAUCACAGGAAAUUUGGAAGAAUUAAUCAUGCCUAGCAGGUAGCUGAUGGAUAAAGACCCUGCAAAAGAAACUGAGGAGUAUUCAGACAUGUGGGAAGAAAAUAAGAAGAAAACACAAUUAUGGAAGCCAAAGGAGUCUGAGAAGAAAGGAUUGAGUAAUUACACAGAUGGACGGCCUUGACUUGCAUAUACUUCCUAGCUGUGUGACCCUGGGCAAAUCAUUUAACCCAUUUACCUACUUCUUACCACUCUUCUGUCCAAGUCAAUACUUAGUAUCAACUGUAAGACAGAAGGUAAGGGUAUUUUCAAAUGUAAUUUUUAAUGGCUAACAUAUGCAGCUCAAAGCAUGUUUGCCUCCUACUUUGUAAAAAGACUAAGUGAAAUUUUCCUUACCUUUGCCUCUUUGAAUUCUUAAGUAUUCUUCAGAGUUCAGCUAAAACACUGAAUCUUAUAAUGGGGCCCUUUCUGAUUCCCCUCAGAUUACAAUGUCGUUUUUAUCCCCACAAAUAGCUUAUUUUUAUUUGGUCUGUGCUUAUUUAUGUAUAUAUCUCAUCUUCCUCAUUAGUACAAAAGUUCCUUGAAGGUAAGGAAUAUUUCAUUUUGGUCAUAGAACAGUACUUGGUAUGGAGUGGGUGCUUAUUAAGUGGUUGUGGUUUUAUUGGUGUAUUGCUUAUUAUUCCAAAUUUAUAUAGACUUUUUCCAGUAAGAAAUUUCUAGUAAGUAGGAUGUUCCUAAAAAGAAAGGUAUAGAAACUACUUAAAAGAGUGGAUUCAAUCUUCUGAUUACUCCUACUGCCAUAUCUCCCCCCAACCCCAAUCUAUCCUCCAUUCAGCUGCCAAAGUGACAAAAUGCCAACAUUUCCUAAUGUUGGAGGGGAUGUGGCAAAAUUAGGAUCUUAUUGCAUUGUUUGUGGAGUUGUGAACUGAUCCAACCAUUCUGGAGGGCAAUUUUGGACUAUGCCCAAAAAGGCUAUAAAACAAUGAAUACCUUCUGAUCCAGUAAUACCACUACUAGGUAUAUAUCCCAAAGAGACAAAAGGGGAGGGGAGGACCUCCUUAAACAAAAUUACUUAUAGCACCUCUUUUUGUGGUGGCAAAGAAUUAGAAAUUGAGAGAAUGCCCAUCAAUUGGGGAAUGGCUGAGUAAAUUGUGAUAUAUGACGGUGAUAGAAUACUAUUGUGCUAAAAGAAAUGAAGAACAGAAUGAUUUCAGAAAGAACUGGAAAGACCUACAUGAACUGAUGCAGAAUGAAAUAAGCAGAACCAGAAAAACA